CUGGGCCAAAUUACAUUAAACCAAAUUUGGCCAAAAUCAUCAUUGGGGUAUCUAGUUUAAAAAAUGUGUCCGGUGACCCGGCCAACCAACCAAGAUGGCCGCCAUGGCAAAAAAUAGAACACAGGGGUAAAAUGCAGUUUUUGGCUUAUAACUCAAAAACCAAAGCAUUUAGAGCAAAUCUGACAGGAUAAAAUUGUUUAUCAGGUCAAGAUCUAUCUGCCC
Molecule: long non-coding RNA, 222 nt
Filed under: Mytilus galloprovincialis (Mediterranean mussel)
Lineage: Eukaryota; Metazoa; Mollusca; Bivalvia; Mytilida; Mytilidae
Source: RNAcentral